UAGGGAAUAUUGCUUAAUGGGCGAAAGCCUGAAGCAGCAACGCCGCGUGUGUGAAGAAGGCCUUCGGGUUGUAAAACACUUUUUGAGGGAAUGAGGAAGGACAGUACCCUCAGAAUAAGCCUCGGCUAACUACGUGCCAGCAGCCGCGGUAAAACGUAGGAGGCGAGCGUUAUCCGGAUUUACUAGGCGUAAAGCGCGUGCAGGCGGCACGGCAAGUUGGAUGUGAAAGCUCCCGGCUUAACUGGGAGAGGUCGUUCAAAACUGCCGAGCUAGAGUGCGGGAGAGGGAGGUGGAAUUCCGGGUGUAGUGGUGACAUGCGUAGAUAUCCGGAGGAACACCAGUGGCGAAAGCGGCCUCCUGGUCCGCAACUGACGCUCAGACGCGAAAGCUAGGGUAGCAAACGG
This 404-nucleotide ribosomal RNA is filed under the name uncultured bacterium. Its description in RNAcentral is "bacterial SSU rRNA". It matches the Rfam family "Bacterial small subunit ribosomal RNA", at positions 355 to 775 of the family's 1533-position model. The record is from RNAcentral.